GAUGAACGCUGGCGGCGUGCCUAAUACAUGCAAGUCGAGCGAACGGACGAGAAGCUUGCUUCUCUGAUGUUAGCGGCGGGCGGGUGAGUAACACGUGGAUAACCUACCUAUAAGACUGGGAUCACUUCGGGAAACCGGAGCUAACACCGGAUGAUAUUUUGAACCGCAUGGUUCAAAAGUGAAAGACGGUCUUGCUGUCACGUAUAGAUGGAUCCGCGCUGCAUUAGCUAGUUGGUAAGUUAACGGCUUACCAAGGCAACGAUGCAUAGCCGACGUGAGAGGGUGAUCGGCCACACUGGAACUGAGACACGGUCCAGACUCCUACGGGAGGCAGCAGUAGGGAAUCUUCCGCAAUGGGCGAAAGCCUGACGGAGCAACGCCGCGUGAGUGAUGAAGGUCUUCGGAUCGUAAAACUCUGUUAUUAGGGAAGAACAUAUGUGUAAGUAACUGUGCACAGCUUGACGGUACCUAAUCAGAAAGCCACGGCUAACUACGUG
This 497-nucleotide ribosomal RNA is filed under the name uncultured bacterium. RNAcentral's name for it is "partial 16S ribosomal RNA". It matches the Rfam family "Bacterial small subunit ribosomal RNA", at positions 28 to 507 of the family's 1533-position model. The record is from RNAcentral.